Molecule: ribosomal RNA, 448 nt
Filed under: uncultured organism
Description: partial 16S ribosomal RNA
Rfam family: Bacterial small subunit ribosomal RNA
Source: RNAcentral
ACUCCUACGGGAGGCAGCAGUGGGGAAUAUUGGACAAUGGGCGCAAGCCUGAUCCAGCCAUGCCGCGUGAGUGAUGAAGGCCCUAGGGUUGUAAAGCUCUUUCACCGGUGAAGAUAAUGACGGUAACCGGAGAAGAAGCCCCGGCUAACUUCGUGCCAGCAGCCGCGGUAAUACGAAGGGGGCUAGCGUUGUUCGGAUUUACUGGGCGUAAAGCGCACGUAGGCGGACUAUUAAGUCAGGGGUGAAGUCCCGGGGCUCAACCCCGGAACUGCCUUUGAUACUGGUAGUCUUGAGUUCGAGAGAGGUGAGUGGAAUUCCGAGUGUAGAGGUGAAAUUCGUAGAUAUUCGGAGGAACACCAGUGGCGAAGGCGGCUCACUGGCUCGAUACUGACGCUGAGGUGCGAAAGCGUGGGGAGCAAACAGGAUUAGAAACCCCUGUAGUCCCAUG